CCCCGCCGCGCAACGGGGAGGCGGUGCGGCGGUCCCCCUCAUGCUGCGGGCCGGGCCGAGUGCAGGUGCGGGCGGGGCGGGGCUGUGCCCGGGGCCGCCUGCCCUCCCUGGCUGGGACCGUGGCUUCUGCAGGGGGAUUUCUGUAGGUCCUGGCACAACAGGGCAGGGACCACGUAGGAUUCAGCUAAAGGCGUCCUGCAGGAUCCAGGGCAGGCGCUUACUCAUACGUGACUGCAUAUGGCAAUGUGCAUCUGUGUUUUGGUAAGGGCUUCCACAAAACCAGGACCUGUCCUGGGUCAGCACAGCUCUGAGCAGGUGGGUCUUGCUGGCCAGCCAGAAGCCUCGUUCUCUGAGUUAAGAGCAGCACGCUAACUCACACUGAUUCAUGGGGCACUGCUAAGCUGUUAAUAACGCUCACUGGAGGAGACUAAUCGUACCGCAUACCUGGCAGCCUUAGUCUUUAAUGAAUUUCAGGCCUUCAGACACUUAUAAAUAAAUACAUGAACUGGGGGAUUUAGCUGACCUGUAUAUUUCACAGAGUUCCACUGAAGCACCGUGACGUGUUCUGCACAUCCCAAAGCCUUCAACGCUUCUGUAACACCCUUGUGAGUAAGCAAAGCUCAGCUAUGAGUGGAAAUCGGAGAUCAGGUGCCUCAGUUAAAGGUCACAAAACUGUUCCAUGGUGGAGCUGAGGAUGAACCAUGGUCUGCCAACCCCAGUCUACCAUGUCAACUUUACCGAAACACACAAGGCUGUUUUCUUAAAAUUAAUUCCAGUAAUCACAGUUCUUUCUGGACACUAAAAUGUGUGGUUAUCCACUUCACCAAGACCCACCAAAAGAUAGGCUUGUUCUGGAAAGUAUUUUUUCAUCUCAGGACACAUUAAUUUUAUUUUUAAAAAGGUAUGUUAGUACAGUUUGGAUAUUUUUUAUUUUCUAAAGCAAAGCUGGGUCUGGUUAGUUUUAUAGCAGAGAGAAUUUAGAAAAGUGGCGUAUCGAUACACACCUGUCAUCUCUUCAGAAAUAAACCAGUACUGAGGUUACACAGCAUGCAGGGAUGGAGUUUGUUUACUCUUUUCAUCUGUUGUCACCUUCUCUUUUGCAAAUCAUUUUAAAUGAGGAGGAAGCGAACUGACAAAUAUGGGCAGUCUCAUUACAGUGUCUCAUCUUUCCUGAUAACAGCGCUAGUAGGUUAUGGAUGAAGUCAGUAAAAGCAGGCAUAUUGAUUACAAAGUCAGAAGACCUCUCACAUACAUUUGCAACAAACCCUGAAGACUAAAAAUGGAGUGGUUUACAGUGCUGUUUUCUCAGGCAUCAGCUGCAGGGUUGGAUUCCUCUCCUGCAGAUACAGUGUCCCCCAGCAGCCCCCAGUUCUGCUGACCUCCCCCUGACUGGUAGAGCAUUUUGUCAAGAGUGAAGACUCACAGGCUUCGAGAGGAAGAUUUCCAGCUAACCCCUGGAGAAGGACUUUCCACUUGUUAAUGUCUUUCAUCACCCUCCCAGCUCUGAGAGGUGGUGGUGAUCUCCCCCCUGUCAUCCAAAAGCAGCAAGAAGGAAAGUAGUCUCUUGAGCUUGCACUCCAGCACCAUCUGAGAUGCCUUCAGAUGUGCGCCUGCAUUUUAUGUGCCUUUGACAAUGUUGUCUCACACAUUUUGGGGAUGAAAGAACCACAAGUCAAGGCAGAGGCUUUUCCCACUGGGGCAAAAGGGCACCCUAGACAACACCCUAGCAAACUCCUUCACUGCUUUCAAAGCAAGUGACAACACAUUUGAAAAAAAAUAUUUGACCCAUUUAAGAUAAAUCUUGUUUACUUUGCUUGCAUGAAUAGAAUUGCUAAUGUUAGCAGGAGGAAGAUGAGCAGAAUGUGGCACUACUUGCUUCCCUAUGCAUUCGAAUUUUCUGUAAUGAGCAUUUUUCACUUGAAAUUUGGCAGACCUUUUCAAAAAGAAAAUAAAAGAAAAAAACCCCCAAACAAAUUAAAAAACCUCAACCCAAACAAGCGAACAGAAAGCCCAUAGAUAAUAGGCUGACAGUAGUGACCAAUAUGGAAUAAUUACCCCUGUAACACAGUCCAGAGCAUGCAUGAGGAUCUGCAUGCCAGGUAUAUGCAGGAAUGGACAGGCUCUGGCCCUGUGCAUUUGGCUGUCAGAUCACUGCAGCAGUGACGCUGUUGGUACUCGGGGCCUUCAAACAGGUGGUCUGUCAACAUGCUUUUGAGUCCCUAAUCGUGUGUGUGUACGUAUUUAUGAUCUUCACCUCUAGGAAACUGUGUUCCUGUACCAGCCAUUCUUUCUCUUUUGGGGCUAGCCCUUAACUCCAAGAUUUGUAGCUUACAAUUUCUUUUUCCAGACUCAGCCUUACUGUGGUCCUCAAAAAUGGGGAAGGAGAUCCCUUUUUAAUUUUGUUUCCAUUGAGGUCCCUGAUCUUGCUUAGGACGUUAGUCACCCUUGGCUCAAGGAUGUGGAGCAACCUCCUGAAUCAGACAUAGCAUUGCUGGAAGUGAAACAGUAGCUGCAGAUACCAUCUGCUCAGGAUACUGUGUCAGUGCUGUCCCCUGGCUUUGUUAUUGCCAGCCAGAUUUGCAGAAGCACUAGGCAAGUUAGCAAAGCAAAGCAACCAGGGUUGGGUUAUUUUCAUUACCCUCUGUUUCCUUGCAGCUGGUCAAAAUAGUCAAGACCUUCCAAAUCCGACCAGAUUGACAUGGAAGUGAAAGCUGAACAUGUGAGGUACCUGAACCUGGUUGUCAUGCCCCAUUUCAGCAGCAAGAAUUAUAGCAUAGUUUGGGUUGGAAUGGACCACAGGUCAUCUAUUCCAACCUCCUGCAAUGAGCAGGGACAUCUUCAACUAGAUCAGGUUGCUCAGAGCCCCGUCCAGCCUGGCCUUGAAUGUCUCCAGGGAUGGGGCAUCUACCACCUCUCUGGGCAACCUGGGCCAGUGUUUCACCACCCUCAUGGUAAAAAAUUUCUUCCUCAUGCCCAGCCUGAAUCUCGCCUCUUUUAGUUUAAAACCAUUACCCCUUGUCCUAUUGCAACAGGCCCUUCUAAAAAGUCUGUCCCCAUCUUUCUUAUAGGUCCCCUUAAGUACUGAAAGGCCACAAAAAGGUCUUUCCAGAGCCUUCUCUUCUCCAGGCUCAAUAAUCCCAACUGUCUCAGCCUAUCCUCACAGGAGAGGUAAAGAACAUACAGCUCGCUGUGCCCACUCAUACCAGAAGACAAAAGUGGUAAGCCAGAAGAUUUAACAUCUCCAAAGCCCUAGGGCGAGUCCCCAAAAAAGACACCAUGCAGGGCAGUGGGGUCACGCACAGCCAGGAAGCCUCCAGGACAGUGGAGGGUGCAGCCGGGGCCCCACUGGGUUGCUGUGAAGCGUGAAGACCAAGCUGCUGCUGACAGCUGCUGAGCUGAGCUCAGCCCUCAGCCCUGGGCAGUCCUCAGGGGUCCCAGCCCUCUCCCCAUCACAGUGUCCUGCCAGGACUGUGCCUCUGCUGCUCGUCUCCCCACAGAGAGCUCCCAGGCUAGGGACAGCGAAACUGCCCAGCCCCUGCAAGCUCAGCCAUUGCAAGGAGGGGAGAGAUGGGCUUAUUCGAGGAGUUGUUACUGGUACCAGUAAGCACAGUAUGGUGGCUGCUCUCUGCCUGCUUACCCUGCAUCUGCUCUUGAAAAACACCACUGAAAACAGCCUUGGGCCAUUAACUUUGCCUGGUGUUCAAAGACUGGGAUUCUUACUGUUAGGGAUGAUUUUCCAAAGGUGCAGA
Molecule: long non-coding RNA, 3749 nt
Organism: Columba livia (rock pigeon)
Lineage: Eukaryota; Metazoa; Chordata; Aves; Columbiformes; Columbidae
Exons: 3
Source: RefSeq, a predicted model, not a curated record